This 1484-nucleotide ribosomal RNA is filed under the name Lactiplantibacillus plantarum. RNAcentral describes it as "bacterial SSU rRNA". It matches the Rfam family "Bacterial small subunit ribosomal RNA". Lineage: Bacteria; Bacillati; Bacillota; Bacilli; Lactobacillales; Lactobacillaceae. The record is from RNAcentral.
ACGCUGGCGGCGUGCCUAAUACAUGCAAGUCGAACGAACUCUGGUAUUGAUUGGUGCUUGCAUCAUGAUUUACAUUUGAGUGAGUGGCGAACUGGUGAGUAACACGUGGGAAACCUGCCCAGAAGCGGGGGAUAACACCUGGAAACAGAUGCUAAUACCGCAUAACAACUUGGACCGCAUGGUCCGAGUUUGAAAGAUGGCUUCGGCUAUCACUUUUGGAUGGUCCCGCGGCGUAUUAGCUAGAUGGUGGGGUAACGGCUCACCAUGGCAAUGAUACGUAGCCGACCUGAGAGGGUAAUCGGCCACAUUGGGACUGAGACACGGCCCAAACUCCUACGGGAGGCAGCAGUAGGGAAUCUUCCACAAUGGACGAAAGUCUGAUGGAGCAACGCCGCGUGAGUGAAGAAGGGUUUCGGCUCGUAAAACUCUGUUGUUAAAGAAGAACAUAUCUGAGAGUAACUGUUCAGGUAUUGACGGUAUUUAACCAGAAAGCCACGGCUAACUACGUGCCAGCAGCCGCGGUAAUACGUAGGUGGCAAGCGUUGUCCGGAUUUAUUGGGCGUAAAGCGAGCGCAGGCGGUUUUUUAAGUCUGAUGUGAAAGCCUUCGGCUCAACCGAAGAAGUGCAUCGGAAACUGGGAAACUUGAGUGCAGAAGAGGACAGUGGAACUCCAUGUGUAGCGGUGAAAUGCGUAGAUAUAUGGAAGAACACCAGUGGCGAAGGCGGCUGUCUGGUCUGUAACUGACGCUGAGGCUCGAAAGUAUGGGUAGCAAACAGGAUUAGAUACCCUGGUAGUCCAUACCGUAAACGAUGAAUGCUAAGUGUUGGAGGGUUUCCGCCCUUCAGUGCUGCAGCUAACGCAUUAAGCAUUCCGCCUGGGGAGUACGGCCGCAAGGCUGAAACUCAAAGGAAUUGACGGGGGCCCGCACAAGCGGUGGAGCAUGUGGUUUAAUUCGAAGCUACGCGAAGAACCUUACCAGGUCUUGACAUACUAUGCAAAUCUAAGAGAUUAGACGUUCCCUUCGGGGACAUGGAUACAGGUGGUGCAUGGUUGUCGUCAGCUCGUGUCGUGAGAUGUUGGGUUAAGUCCCGCAACGAGCGCAACCCUUAUUAUCAGUUGCCAGCAUUAAGUUGGGCACUCUGGUGAGACUGCCGGUGACAAACCGGAGGAAGGUGGGGAUGACGUCAAAUCAUCAUGCCCCUUAUGACCUGGGCUACACACGUGCUACAAUGGAUGGUACAACGAGUUGCGAACUCGCGAGAGUAAGCUAAUCUCUUAAAGCCAUUCUCAGUUCGGAUUGUAGGCUGCAACUCGCCUACAUGAAGUCGGAAUCGCUAGUAAUCGCGGAUCAGCAUGCCGCGGUGAAUACGUUCCCGGGCCUUGUACACACCGCCCGUCACACCAUGAGAGUUUGUAACACCCAAAGUCGGUGGGGUAACCUUUUAGGAACCAGCCGCCUAAGGUGGGACAGAUGAUUAGGGUG